RNAcentral lists this ribosomal RNA (634 nucleotides) under uncultured bacterium. RNAcentral's name for it is "bacterial SSU rRNA". It matches the Rfam family "Bacterial small subunit ribosomal RNA", at positions 28 to 671 of the family's 1533-position model. The record is from RNAcentral.
GAUGAACGCUGGCGGCGUGCCUAAUACAUGCAAGUCGAACGAGGCCCUUUGUAUUCGUACGAAGGUGUCCUAGUGGCGAACGGGUGAGUAACACGUAGAUGACCUGCCCCGAAGAUAGGGAUAACCCCGGGAAACUGGGGCUAAUACCUAAUGUCCUUCAUGGUGUUAGAGGACCAUGAAGGAAAGGGAGCAAUCCGCUUUGGGAGGGGUCUGCGGCCCAUCAGCUAGUUGGUAGGGUAAUGGCCUACCAAGGCGACGACGGGUAGGGGGCCUGAGAGGGUGGUCCCCCACAAUGGCACUGAAACACGGGCCAUACACCUACGGGUGGCAGCAGUAGGGAAUAUUGCACAAUGGACGAAAGUCUGAUGCAGCAACGCCGCGUGCGCGAUGAAGGCCUUCGGGUUGUAAAGCGCUUUUCUGGGGGAAGAGGAAGGACGGUACCCCAGGAAUAAGUCUCGGCUAACUACGUGCCAGCAGCCGCGGUAAAACGUAGGAGGCGAGCGUUAUCCGGAUUUACUGGGCGUAAAGCGCGUGCAGGCGGUCUGGUAAGUCGGACGUUAAACCUCCCGGCUCAACUGGGAGAGGCCGUUCGAAACUACCAGGCUUGAGGGCAGUAGAGGGAGAUGGAAUUCCG